Molecule: unclassified non-coding RNA, 2066 nt
Filed under: uncultured fungus
Lineage: Eukaryota; Fungi
Description: sequence contains 18S rRNA gene, ITS1, 5.8S rRNA gene, ITS2, 28S rRNA gene
Rfam family: Eukaryotic large subunit ribosomal RNA (bases 948-2066)
Source: RNAcentral
GGAAGGAUCAUUAACACGUGUCCCACGUAUCAAACCAAAACCGAGAACAUUGAACGUAUAUCCGGAAUGAGUUAUGGCGUCGGUAUUAAAGUCCAGGGGGACCUUCGGGUUUCCUCUGGGGUCCGCACAUUCUCAGACCGUUAACCAAAACCAUUAUUCAUUAUUAUUAUCGUCUUAAGAACUGUCGUGCUAACUGAAAGAUUGGGAAGUAACUUGUCUGGAUGCUCUGGUUCGCCGGAGAAGCCUGAGGUAGCAAUACCUCGUUGUGCCGCGACAAGCCAAAACCUCUAACUUGACUGUUGGUAAUGAUGUCUUAUUACAAACUAUGUACAAAUCUUAGCAACGGAUAUCUUGGUUUCCGCAUCGAUGACGAACGCAGCAAACUGCGAUUACUCUCGCGAAUUGCAGAGCUCAGUGAAUCAUCAAACCUCCGAACGCAACUUGCGCCAUACAGCCCUCACGGGUACGUAUGUGCACGUCCCAUUCAGUGACAUUUAAUGAUCUCAAGCUCAGAAUCGAAUAGCCUCCUGAAGGACAAGCGCUCAACAACGUGACGAUCAGGAUGGGGGCUUAGUAGACUUAUGACUUGGCUAUAAGCUUUGAGUGUUCACGCUAGUAACCGUUUCGGCUUUGCUGAGGCGGUGCUGUGUGUCACUUUAAAUUCAUUGACCGUAUGAUGUAGGGAUGAGGUGGAGUCUUUGAUCUCUCGGACUCGUUAGCCUUUGUCUCGGCAUUUGCAUUGCUCAAUGCUGUGCUGCUGACUUAACACUCCGAAACGGAGGGGGCAAUAAUACAACAAGUUCUCUAAGCUCAGCGCUAAUUACCAGCGUACUUCUCUUCGGGGAAGGUCUUGAGUGGGAGUGAAAAGGGGCGCUCUAAUUUUGUCUGUCUAUAACUUAGUCAAUAACUCCUCAACAAGGGAUUAACUUCGGUUAUCUCCUCAUUUUAGAUCUGAAUUGGGAUGAGAAGACCCACUAAAUUUAAGCAUAUUAUUCAGUGGAGGAAAAGAAACUAACAAGGAUUCCCCUAGUAACGGCGAGUGAAGCGGGAAAAGGUCAAUUUUAAAAUCCUUAGGUCACAUGGCCUUGGGAGUUGUAAUCUGAAGACGUAUGUUCAGCGUGUGACCCGGGUAUAACUCCUUUGGAAAAGGGGAUCAUAGAGGGUGAUAAUCCCGUCUUUGACCUGGAGUUCGCCGCGUACGAUGUGCGUUCUACGAGUCGAGUUGUUUGGGAUUGCAGCUCUAAAUGGGUGGUAAACUUCAUCUAAACCUAAAUAUUGGCGGAAGACCGAUAGCGAACAAGUAGCGUGAGCGAAAGAUGAAAAGAACUUUGAAAAGAGAGUUAAAAAGUACUUGAAAUUGCUAAGAGGUAAGUUAUGGAAACCAGUCUUUCCUGGGGCUAUACUUUGCGUUUGUCGGAGUGAGAUUGUUUGGGGUGGAGCUCUUUUGGGGCCAGCCUCUUGUAAUCUUUGGCAGGCGUGUCCUGUAGUCUUGGGCGUGUCAAAAUCAGUUUGACUUGUCGGAGAAAGCUAGGAGGAAGGUGGGGAAAGUUUAGGGUUCGCUUUACUCUUUUCGUUACAGCCUUCUAGUUGAUACGGUGGGUUAGACUGAGGAAAAGAUAAGCCCCCCCUUCAUUGGGCUUGGUACCUGGACCUGCUAUGUUCGCUAGCUUGGACAGCAAAGCUGUGCGGUUGGCGAAGCGUGGUACUGUUUGGGGUUCGCCGUUCGAGUGCUUAGCGAUUUUGACGAAAUGGUUUUCAUUGACCCGUCUUGAAACACGGACCAAGGAGUCUAACAUAUAUGCGAGUAUUUGGGUGCUAAACCCUGAUGCGUAAUGAAGUGAAGGAAGUUUCGGCUUCUGAGGUAGGAACCGUUCCUUCGGGGGCGGGGCACUAUCGACCGAUCGAUCACUUGUGGUAGAUUUGAGUCUGAGCAUUAUCUGUUGGGACCCGAAAGAUGGUGAUCUAUGCCUGGGGCAGGAUUGAAGUCAGGGGAAACUCUGAUGGAAGUCCGCAGCGGUACUGUAGGGGCGAAAGACUAAUCGAACCAUCUAGUAGCUGGUUCCCUC